This 285-nucleotide ribosomal RNA is filed under the name uncultured prokaryote. RNAcentral's name for it is "partial 16S ribosomal RNA". It matches the Rfam family "Bacterial small subunit ribosomal RNA", at positions 524 to 817 of the family's 1533-position model. The record is from RNAcentral.
CACGGGGGGUUGCGAGCGUUGUCCGGAAUUACUAGGCGUAAAGGGCAGGCAGGCGGAUCCAUAAGUUUAUCGUUUAAGGCGUCGGCUUAACCGGCGUAGGGAGGUAGAUACUGUGGAUCUGGAAUGCGGUUGGGGAAGACAGAAUUCCUGGUGUAGCGGUGGAAUGCGCAGAGAUCAGGAGGAAUACCGAAGGCGAAGGUAGUCUUCCAAGCCGUUAUUGACGCUCAACUGCGAAGGUGUGGGUAUCAAACAGGAUUAGAUACCCCCGUAGUUCCUGAGCGGGCU